RNAcentral lists this ribosomal RNA (1447 nucleotides) under uncultured organism. RNAcentral's name for it is "16S ribosomal RNA". It matches the Rfam family "Bacterial small subunit ribosomal RNA". The record is from RNAcentral.
CAGGCUUAACACAUGCAAGUCGAGGGGCAGCAUGGUCUUAGCUUGCUAAGGCCGAUGGCGACCGGCGCACGGGUGAGUAACACGUAUCCAACCUGCCGUCUACUCUUGGACAGCCUUCUGAAAGGAAGAUUAAUACAAGAUGGCAUCAUGAGUCCGCAUGUUCACAUGAUUAAAGGUAUUCCGGUAGACGAUGGGGAUGCGUUCCAUUAGAUAGUAGGCGGGGUAACGGCCCACCUAGUCUUCGAUGGAUAGGGGUUCUGAGAGGAAGGUCCCCCACAUUGGAACUGAGACACGGUCCAAACUCCUACGGGAGGCAGCAGUGAGGAAUAUUGGUCAAUGGGCGAGAGCCUGAACCAGCCAAGUAGCGUGAAGGAUGACUGCCCUAUGGGUUGUAAACUUCUUUUAUAAAGGAAUAAAGUCGGGUAUGCAUACCCGUUUGCAUGUACUUUAUGAAUAAGGAUCGGCUAACUCCGUGCCAGCAGCCGCGGUAAUACGGAGGAUCCGAGCGUUAUCCGGAUUUAUUGGGUUUAAAGGGAGCGUAGAUGGAUGUUUAAGUCAGUUGUGAAAGUUUGCGGCUCAACCGUAAAAUUGCAGUUGAUACUGGAUAUCUUGAGUGCAGUUGAGGCAGGCGGAAUUCGUGGUGUAGCGGUGAAAUGCUUAGAUAUCACGAAGAACUCCGAUUGCGAAGGCAGCCUGCUAAGCUGCAACUGACAUUGAGGCUCGAAAGUGUGGGUAUCAAACAGGAUUAGAUACCCUGGUAGUCCACACGGUAAACGAUGAAUACUCGCUGUUUGCGAUAUACGGCAAGCGGCCAAGCGAAAGCGUUAAGUAUUCCACCUGGGGAGUACGCCGGCAACGGUGAAACUCAAAGGAAUUGACGGGGGCCCGCACAAGCGGAGGAACAUGUGGUUUAAUUCGAUGAUACGCGAGGAACCUUACCCGGGCUUAAAUUGCAGAUGAAUUACGGUGAAAGCCGUAAGCCGCAAGGCAUCUGUGAAGGUGCUGCAUGGUUGUCGUCAGCUCGUGCCGUGAGGUGUCGGCUUAAGUGCCAUAACGAGCGCAACCCUUGUUGUCAGUUACUAACAGGUUCCGCUGAGGACUCUGACAAGACUGCCAUCGUAAGAUGUGAGGAAGGUGGGGAUGACGUCAAAUCAGCACGGCCCUUACGUCCGGGGCUACACACGUGUUACAAUGGGGGGUACAGAGGGCCGCUACCACGCGAGUGGAUGCCAAUCCCAAAAACCUCUCUCAGUUCGGACUGGAGUCUGCAACCCGACUCCACGAAGCUGGAUUCGCUAGUAAUCGCGCAUCAGCCACGGCGCGGUGAAUACGUUCCCGGGCCUUGUACACACCGCCCGUCAAGCCAUGGGAGCCGGGGGUACCUGAAGUGCGUAACCGCGAGGAGCGCCCUAGGGUAAAACUGGUGACUGGGGCUAAGUCAUAACAA